ACUAUUUUGGCAGAAAAUUGUGAUGAUUUUAGAAGUCAUUAAUAUAUAAUUAUUUAUUAUAUAGAUAGUA
Molecule: transfer RNA, 70 nt
Filed under: Colias erate (eastern pale clouded yellow)
Lineage: Eukaryota; Metazoa; Arthropoda; Insecta; Lepidoptera; Pieridae
Description: tRNA-Leu
Source: RNAcentral